AACGAACGCUGGCGGCAUGCCUAACACAUGCAAGUCGAACGAGACCUUCGGGUCUAGUGGCGCACGGGUGCGUAACGCGUGGGAAUCUGCCCUUAGGUACGGAAUAAACUCAGGGAAACUUGAGCUAAUACCGUAUAAUGACUUCGGUCCAAAGAUUUAUCGCCUAAGGAUGAGCCCCGCGUCGGAUUAGCUAGUUGGUGAGGUAAAAGCUCACCAAGGCGACGAUCCGUANCUGGCUGAGAGGAUGAUCAGCCACACUGGGACUGAGACACGGCCCAGACUCCGUACGGGAGGCAGCAGGUGGGGAAUAUUGGACAA
RNAcentral lists this ribosomal RNA (318 nucleotides) under uncultured bacterium. Its description in RNAcentral is "bacterial SSU rRNA". It matches the Rfam family "Bacterial small subunit ribosomal RNA", at positions 29 to 371 of the family's 1533-position model. The record is from RNAcentral.